RNAcentral lists this ribosomal RNA (341 nucleotides) under Shewanella baltica OS183. Its description in RNAcentral is "partial 16S ribosomal RNA". It matches the Rfam family "Bacterial large subunit ribosomal RNA", at positions 2445 to 2785 of the family's 2925-position model. The record is from RNAcentral. Lineage: Bacteria; Pseudomonadati; Pseudomonadota; Gammaproteobacteria; Alteromonadales; Shewanellaceae.
UCGCUCAACGGAUAAAAGGUACUCCGGGGAUAACAGGCUGAUACCGCCCAAGAGUUCAUAUCGACGGCGGUGUUUGGCACCUCGAUGUCGGCUCAUCACAUCCUGGGGCUGAAGUCGGUCCCAAGGGUAUGGCUGUUCGCCAUUUAAAGUGGUACGCGAGCUGGGUUCAGAACGUCGUGAGACAGUUCGGUCCCUAUCUGCCGUGGGCGUUGGAUGAUUGAAGGGAGCUGCUCCUAGUACGAGAGGACCGGAGUGGACGAACCGCUGGUGUUCGGGUUGUCAUGCCAAUGGCAUUGCCCGGUAGCUACGUUCGGAAUCGAUAACCGCUGAAAGCAUCUAAG